ACCUUGGUGGUCUAGCGGCUAAGGAUCCCGUACUGCUGUAGCCUGGGUUCGAUUCCCAGGCAGGGAA
This is a non-coding RNA of Pangasius djambal, 67 nucleotides long. The record is from the annotation of a GenBank genome assembly. NCBI's taxonomy places the organism in Eukaryota, Metazoa, Chordata, Actinopteri, Siluriformes, Pangasiidae.